This 133-nucleotide ribosomal RNA is filed under the name uncultured bacterium. RNAcentral's name for it is "partial 16S ribosomal RNA". The record is from RNAcentral.
AUAGUACCAUCAGAUUCAUAAGCUAUUUACAUAUGAACUUUUUCCUAUCUGACAGAGCUUUACGACCCGAAAGCCUUCUUCACUCACGCGGCGUUGCUGCGUCAGGGUUUCCCCCAUUGCGCAAAAUUCCUCA